CAGCAGCCGCGGUAAUACAGAGGGGGCAAGCGUUGUUCGGAAUUACUGGGCGUAAAGGGCGCGUAGGCGGCCUGUUAAGUCGAACGUGAAAUCCCCGGGCUCAACCCGGGAACUGCGUCCGAUACUGGCAGGCUUGAAUCCGGGAGAGGGAUGCGGAAUUCCAGGUGUAGCGGUGAAAUGCGUAGAUAUCUGGAGGAACACCGGUGGCGAAGGCGGCAUCCUGGACCGGCAUUGACGCUGAGGCGCGAAAGCCAGGGGAGCAAACGGGAUUAGAUACCCCGGUAGUCCUGGCCCUAAACGAUGAAUGCUUGGUGUGGCGGGCAUCGAUCCCUGCCGUGCCGAAGCUAACGCAUUAAGCAUUCCGCCUGGGGAGUACGGUCGCAAGGCUGAAACUCAAAG
This 399-nucleotide ribosomal RNA is filed under the name uncultured bacterium. RNAcentral describes it as "bacterial SSU rRNA". It matches the Rfam family "Bacterial small subunit ribosomal RNA", at positions 509 to 906 of the family's 1533-position model. The record is from RNAcentral.